AGAAUCAACGCUGGCGGCGUGCCUAACACAUGCAAGUCGAACGAGAAAGUGGAGCAAUCCAUGAGUAAAGUGGCGACCGGGUGAGUAACACGUGACUAACCUACCUUCGAGUGGGGGAUAACCUCGGGAAACCGAGGCUAAUACCGCAUAACAUCGCAAGAUCAAAGCAGCAAUGCGCUGGAAGAGGGGGUCGCGGCUGAUUAGCUAGUUGGCGGGUAACGGCCCACCAAGGCGAAGAUCGGUAGCCGGCCUGAGAGGGCGCACGGCCACACUGGAACUGAAACACGGUCCAGACUCCUACGGGAGGCAGCAGUGGGGAAUUUUGCGCAAUGGGGGAAACCCUGACGCAGCAACGCCGCGUGGAGGAUGAAGCCCCUUGGGGCGUAAACUCCUUUCGACCAAGACGAUAAUGACGGUACUGGUGGAAGAAGCACCGGCUAACUCUGCGCCAGCAGCCGC
Molecule: ribosomal RNA, 459 nt
Filed under: uncultured bacterium
Lineage: Bacteria
Description: SSU rRNA
Rfam family: Bacterial small subunit ribosomal RNA
Source: RNAcentral